GUCGACCAUUUGCAUCAUUGUUCUGGAUUUUAUCAUCUACUCAUCUGAACUAAUGAUUGCAUGAUUUCUUCAAUAGUAUUAUUUGGUAGCCACCAUAUUUCUUUCAAAGAGCACAAUAGUAACAAAUAAUCAUGGCCAAAUGUGCCAUGAAGAUAUAUCUAAAUAAUUUCUUUUAUUCUAUGAAGACAAAUGUAAAAGAA
Molecule: long non-coding RNA, 200 nt
Filed under: Elaeis guineensis (African oil palm)
Lineage: Eukaryota; Viridiplantae; Streptophyta; Magnoliopsida; Arecales; Arecaceae
Description: long non-coding RNA (EGUI_LNC014174)
Source: RNAcentral